UUGCAAGGACUCCCUUGAUGAUGUCCAAUGUAACACAAUACCCUAGAAGGAAGGCACAGAAAAAUAAAAGUAGUAAGCUGCUAAAAAUACAACACACUAAGAGUGGAUCGUGGUCAGCUUUGAAGGAGGACAUGGAUCUAAUUUUUUGGGUUCCUUAUUUUGUCCCAACAUCAAUCCUGAACAAACACUGUGACAGCUUGAAUCAAACCCUUUAACAACCUUGGAUAUGCUGGUAAAUAUUUUAAAAAUUAUUCUAAAAAACGUAUACAUGAGCCACUUUAAAAUUUGACCUGAAAUUUUUUACACUUUCUUCAUAACUUUCAUAAAUUUGAACAUUCAGAAAUAUUCAAGACCUGAUUUUUAGCCAAUUUCUGCGGUAUAAAUACUCAAAUUGAGAAUUUAAGAAUUGAACUUUAUCAGCUGCCCUAAGC
Molecule: long non-coding RNA, 431 nt
Filed under: Monodelphis domestica (gray short-tailed opossum)
Lineage: Eukaryota; Metazoa; Chordata; Mammalia; Didelphimorphia; Didelphidae
Description: lncRNA (ENSMODG00000037647.1)
Source: RNAcentral